RNAcentral lists this ribosomal RNA (441 nucleotides) under uncultured bacterium. RNAcentral's name for it is "partial 16S ribosomal RNA". It matches the Rfam family "Bacterial small subunit ribosomal RNA", at positions 338 to 795 of the family's 1533-position model. The record is from RNAcentral.
CCUACGGGUGGCAGCAGUGGGGAAUAUUGCACCAUGGGGGAAACCCUGAUGCAGCAACGCCGCGUGAAGGAAGACGGUUUUCGGAUUGUCAACUUCUGUUCUUAGUGCAGAAUAAUGACGGUAGCUAAGGAGCAAGCCACGGCUAACUACGUGCCAGCAGCCGCGGGAAUACGUAGGUGGCAAGCGUUGUCCGGCAUUACUGGGUGUAAAGGGAGCGCAGGCGGGAAGUCAAGUCAGCUGUGAAAACUACGGGCUUAACUUGUAGACUGCAGUUGAAACUGGUGUUCUUGAGGGAAGUAGAGGUAAGGGGAAUUCCGAGUGUAGCGGGGAAAUGCGUAGAUAUUCGGAGGAACACCAGUGGCGAAGGCGGCCAACUGGGCUUUAACUGACGCUGAGGCUCGAAAGUGUGGGGAGCAAACAGGAUUAGAUACCCUAGUAGUC